AUACCCAGUAGAGGAGAUACCAUGGUCAGGAAGGAAGUUUUUCCAGAGAGCGUUUUAUCCACUGGACUACAAAUGACUUUCUCCUGCAUUUCUCUUAAGUGUAGAAAAUUUGACCUAGUAAUUUAUGGUCGUGGAGAACUGUGUUCAUAUUCUCCUU
RNAcentral lists this small nuclear RNA (157 nucleotides) under Mus caroli (Ryukyu mouse). RNAcentral describes it as "predicted gene, 22945 (MGP_CAROLIEiJ_G0034783.1)". It matches the Rfam family "U1 spliceosomal RNA". Rfam says of the family: U1 is a small nuclear RNA (snRNA) component of the spliceosome (involved in pre-mRNA splicing). The record is from RNAcentral. Lineage: Eukaryota; Metazoa; Chordata; Mammalia; Rodentia; Muridae.